Molecule: long non-coding RNA, 205 nt
Filed under: Carica papaya (papaya)
Lineage: Eukaryota; Viridiplantae; Streptophyta; Magnoliopsida; Brassicales; Caricaceae
Description: long non-coding RNA (CPAP_LNC000871)
Source: RNAcentral
AGAGAAAAAGUUAGAAGUCCUCAGAAAGAAGUAAACCUAGCCUAGUAAAGACCUAAGAGAGAGAGGAAGGGAAAGUGAGCCUUUACGUGAGGGGACGACAAAUAAGGCAAGCCGUUCAUGAAAAAAAAGCCUCGUGGUAUUGCAAUAUAAAGAGGUCUACCUAAACCUAUCUGACCUAGACCCAACACUACUGCGAGGUAUUGUU